GAUGGCCGCGGAUGAGGAGACACCUGGGUUUCCCUGGCAACAGGUGCCAGGCGGCCGGGGGAGCCGGGAGAGCCCGGGUUUCCCCGCUCGGCUCCGCGCCGCCGCCGGCCCCGGGCGCGCCUCGCCGCCUCGCUGGGCUGGGCCGGGCUGGUCCGGCCGCCCCUGCCCCGCGGGGUCCCCAGGCCGGCCCCGCCGCCCCUGGCAGGAGCAGCCGGGGGAGCGGGCGAGCAGCGGCCCCGCCCGCAGCGGAAGAUCUGAAUUACAAUAAGAUGCCUCUACCUACAUCUUCCAUCAUGGCUGGCUGUCUACUCUCUUCGAAGGAGCAGAUGCUAGUCUGGGCUGAGAUCAUCCGCCAAAAGAUUGCUUUGGCUGUUUUCUAAACCAGUGUGAUGCCUCAGGUGCAGGAGAGAGAGACAAUAAUUAACAAUGUGGCCUACAGCAUCUUGGGGAACAAUUAAUUUUAGUGAAUGGACAAGGGGAAGAAGUGGGAAGGUCCAGAAGAAGGAUUUGCUAAUGCUUGGCUCCCACCUGUGCUCUGCAGUGAGACGUGGCAAAGCCCAAUCCUCAACCCUCCUUCCUGAGAUCAGAGAAACAGGAUUUUAUUGAAAACUCCUGGAGAGCAUCCUUCUGUCACUUUCAUUUCAAGUUCCAUCAUACUUCAACUUUUGGAAGGUCUUAUCCCUCUGCCCAGAGGCAACCAGCCUGAGAUGGUAUCCUCAGGAUUAUCUCUGCACGAAAACAGCAGCAUCCCUCUGGACCCCACAAUGAAGAUGAGCAGCAAUAAGGCAGCAAUUACCAACUCCCAUGGGCUGACAUAAUUACUGACACAGACAGCCACCAGCCACAGGCCACCAAAAGGCCACCAAAGGGUCAGGGCUGCAGAGCCAGGCCCUCUGUGCUGCUGUGAGUGCUCUCUGCAGAGCACCUGUGGCCCCACCUUGCUGCUGAAAAGGGACCUCCUUGCAGGGAGGAUGUUCCUCUGAGCUAGCACAACAUAGCCUGCUACAGAAUUGCUUUUUGUUGGACAUAUUGUUGCUGUGAGAAUGUGCCAUCUUUUGCUUCAGGACAGUUGUGUUUUACUGCAGGCUCACUGAGUGAGACCUAGAAACCCGCACACAUUUUUUUCCUGUCUUUGCAUUGGGAACAAGUGCUCAGAUGGGGAUCUCUGCUGCUCUCCUGCUGGGAAUCCUACAGCAGCCACCCCUGCCUGUCUCUCCAUCUCCAUUUCCCUCCUGAGCUUUGUCUGAUGUGCAUCAGGUGCUGUGAUUGCACAUUUCCCUCAGCUGUGCAUUACCAGAGCAGUUCCAGGUCUGUGACUCUGUGUUGCUGGCUGGGUCAGGAGGCAGAGAGAAGCAGGCAGGGAUGGAUCUCCAGCCUGGCAAACCAGGGUCCAUGGGCUGGGGGAGAGCACAGCUGAAGUCUGAUCUCCCCUCAGCAUACAGCAGCACAGAACUAUUGCCACUGCUGCAAAGUCCACUUUUACAACAGCUGGAUAUCCCAGCAAUUUCAGAAGUCCUCAACAGAGUCUGGUGUGAACUAUCUCCCGUGGGCAGCAAGGAAGAAAACCUCUCCCAACCAGAAAGGGUGAUAGUAAAUGGCCUCAAGUCACUCCAGGGGAGAUAAAGAUUGGAUAUCAGGAAAAAUUUCUUCAUUAAAGGAAUUGUCAAGCACUGGAACAGGCUGCCUGGGAAAGUGGCAGAAUCACCAUCUCUGGAGGUAUUUAAAAGACAUGCAGAUGUGGUGUUUUGGGACAGGGCUCUUGGCAGUGCUGUAUUAACAGUCCUACUUGAUGGCCUUUGAGUUAUUUUCACUUCUAAAUGAUUCCAUGACUCUAUGAAAUGGUUCAUGUCUUGCUUCCUUCUGUGGGUAUACCAGAAAACCUGCACGAGCUUAGUGUCAAACAUUCAUCACACUUAAUGAGUCAUUUUGAAUUUCAAAACUAUUUACACAUGGGGAAUGAAACCAGAGGAAAAGGAGAGCCGAAAAAUGCUGCAAAUUUUUGAAUGGAAGCACCAUAAGGGCAUUUCUUCACAGCACUGCAAGAAUCUACUCUUACAAACCUUUUUGAAAACUCUACCACUUUGGUUUGAAACAACAUGGUGUGAGGUUUUUCUCUGAUGCUCACUUUAAUUACCUUUUGCUCCCUAAUAAAUUUAGAACACUUAAAUUGAAAAUAGCUAUGAUGCACAGCCCCCACUCAUUAUCAGAAAUCUGUAUGCAGUUGCACCCAGUGUUUCAGUUUGCAUAACUUAUUUGUGACGUUAUUAAAGCUGCUUGCAUAAUAAAAUUAAAUGCAGUUUACAUUUAGUAAUGUGUCUGUUCACUUGCCUGUAAUCAAACUGACAGCAU
Zonotrichia albicollis (white-throated sparrow) is the source of this 2349-nucleotide non-coding RNA. NCBI's taxonomy places the organism in Eukaryota, Metazoa, Chordata, Aves, Passeriformes, Passerellidae. The record is from RefSeq and is a predicted model, not a curated record.